This 440-nucleotide ribosomal RNA is filed under the name uncultured bacterium. RNAcentral describes it as "partial 16S ribosomal RNA". It matches the Rfam family "Bacterial small subunit ribosomal RNA", at positions 338 to 795 of the family's 1533-position model. The record is from RNAcentral.
CCUACGGGAGGCAGCAGUGGGGAAUAUUGCACAAUGGGGGAAACCCUGAAGCAGCGACGCCGCGUGAGUGAAGAAGUAAUUCGUUAUGUAAAGCUCUAUCAGCAGGGAAGAAAAUGACGGUACCUGAGUAAGAAGCCCCGGCUAACUACGUGCAAGCAGCCGCGGUAAUACGCAGGGGGCAAGCGUAAUCCGGAUUUACUGGGUGUAAAGGGAGCGUAGAGGGCAGUGCAAGGCAGGAGUGAAAGGCGGGGGCCCAACGCCCGGACUGGUCGGGAAACUGGACGGCUGGCGUGCAGGAGAGGGAAGUGGAAUUCCUAGUGUAGCGGUUAAAUGCUUAGAUAUUAGGAGGAACACCAGUUGCGAAGGCGGCUUACUGGACUGUAACUGACGUUGAUGCUCGAAAGCGUGGGGAGCAAACAGGAUUAGAUACCCCAGUAGUC